CCUACGGGAGGCAGCAGUGGGGAAUCUUGGGCACUGGGCGCAAGCCUGACCCAGCAACGCCGCGUGAAGGAAGAAGGCUUUCGGGUUGUAAACUUCUUUUCUCAGGGACGAAGCAAGAGACGGUACCUGAAGAAUAAGCAACGGCUAACUACGUGCCAGCAGACGCGGUAAUACGUAGUUGGCAAGCGUUAUCCGGUUUUACUUGGGGUAAAGGGAGUGUAGGCGGGAAAGCAAGUCAAAUGUGAAACCCAUGGGCUCCACCUGUAGCCUGCAUUGGAGACUGUUUUUCUUGAGUACUGUAGAGGCAGACGGAAUUCCGAGUGUAGCGGUGAUAUGCGGAGAUAUUAGGAGGACCACCAGUGACGAAGGCGGGCUGCUGGACAGCAACGGACGCUGAGGCGCGAAAGCGUGGGGAGCAAACAGGAUUAGAUACCCCAGUAGUC
Molecule: ribosomal RNA, 443 nt
Filed under: uncultured bacterium
Lineage: Bacteria
Description: partial 16S ribosomal RNA
Rfam family: Bacterial small subunit ribosomal RNA
Source: RNAcentral